GGCGCCGGCGCUUCAACAUCAACGACCGGAUCAAGGAGCUGGGGACCCUGAUCCCCAAAAACAGCGACCCGUGAGCGGGGCCGGGUCCUGCAAGGGGAAACGGGACCCCCGGGUGGGGCCUGGGGGGAUUUGGGCAUUCAGGGACCCCCAUGGCAGGUCCUGGAAGGGAUAAGGGCAUACAAGGAGCCCCAUGGCAGGUCCUGGAAGGGAAAUUUGACAUUCAGGGGACCCCCAGGGUGGGGCCUGGAGGAGCUCAGGUGUCUGGGGGACCCUCAUGGCAGGUCCUGGAAGGGAAAUUUGGCAUUUAGGGACCCCCAGGGUGGGGGUCUGGGAGAGAAUUCCCCCAUGGCAGGUCCUGGAAGGGGAAAUUUGGCAGCCAAAGAUCCCCAAAGUAGGUCCUGGAAGGGAUAAGGGCAUACAAGGAGCCCCAUGGCAGGUCCUGGAAGGGAAAUUUGGCUUUUAGGGACCCCCGGGGUGGGGGCCUGGGAGGGGGAAUUUGGCAGCCAAAGAUCCCCAUGGCAGGUCCUGGAAGGGAUAAGGCCAUACAAGGAACCCCAUGGCAGGUCUUGGAAGGGAUAUUUGGCAGCCAAGGGCGCGCAGAGCAGGUCCUGGAAGGGAAAUUUUAGAUUUAGGGACCCUCGUGGCAGGUCCUGGAAGGGGAAUUUGGCAGCCAGGGACCCCUGGGGUAGGGCUUGGAAGGGGAAUUCCCCCCGUGGCAGGUCCUGGAAGGGAAAUUUGACAUUCAGGGACCCCAGAGUGGGGCCUGGAGGAGCUCAGGUGUCUGGGGACCCCCAUGGCAGGUCCUGGAAGGGAAAUUUGACAUUUAGGAGACCCAAGGUGGGUCCUGGAAGGGAAAUUUGGCAGCCGGGGACCCCCGGGGGUGGGAAUUUGAAAUUUUGGGAUAUUUUGGGGGGUGGUCCCAGGGGUAUUUUGGGGGUGGUCCCGGGGUGAUCCUGGGGAUAUUUUGGGGGUGGUCCCAGGGGUAUUUUGGGGUGGUCCUGGGGGGUUAUUGGGGGUGAUCCUGAGGAUUUUCGGGGAGUGAUCCCUGGGAUUUUGGAGGUGGUCCCGGGGGUAUUUUGGGGAUGACCCAGGCUGAUCUUGGGGGUCCCAGGGGUAUUCGGGGGUGGUCCCGGGGGUAUUUGGGGGGUGGUCCUGGAGGUGUUUGGGGAUGGGUCCUGGGGGUAUUUUGAGGGUGGUCCCGAGGGUAUUUUGGGGAGUGAUUCGGGGGUAUCUGGGGGUGGUCCGGGCUAACCCCGGGGGUCCCAGGGGUUUUUGGGGGUGGCCCCUGGGAUAUUUGGGGUGGUCCCGGGGUUAUUUUGGGGCUGAUCCCGGUGGUAUUUUUGGGUGGUCCCAGGGUUAUUUUGGGGGGUGGUCCCGGGGUUUUUUGGGGGUGGUCCCGGGGUUAUUUGGGGGUGCUCCCGGGGGUCUGUGGGUGCGGGGCUGACGCGGCUCCCGGCAGGGAGAUGCGCUGGAACAAGGGCACGAUCCUGAAGGCGUCCGUGGAUUACAUCCGCAAGCUGCAGAAGGAGACGCAGCGAAGCGCGGGAGCUGGAGCUGCAGCAGCAGCGCCUGGAGCAGCAGAACCGCAGCCUGGCGCUGCGCGUGCAGGAACUGGAGCUCCAAGCCCAAAUCCACGGGCUCCCCCUGACCCCCGCCAUGGCCGAGGGGGGCUGCGAGGAGCCCUCGGGGGGGGGUCCCCCCUUCCCUGCCGGGGGUCCCCCCACCCCCCCAGUGCCUGCUGGAGCUGCCGCCGGGGCUGGCGCUGCCCCUGGCGCUGGGGGGGGCCCGAGGGGACCCUCGAGGACAUCCUGAUGGACGAUGGGGGGGGGCUGUCCCCGCUCGGGCCCCCCCGGCGCCCUCCUGGCCUCGCCGGGCCCCUCGCGGGCCUCCAGCCCCCGCAGCAGCCUCAGCAUGGAGGACGAGCCCUGAGGCCGCCCCGGCAGGAGCCUGGCCCUGGGGGGGAUUUUUAGGGACCCCCUCCCCGUUUCUCGGGACCCCCGCCCUCCCGGAGCUGCUCUGGGUGGGCCCCACUGGGCGCCGUUUGAAGAGUCUUAAAGCGGGGUGCGCGCUUUGUGAUGAGGGCCCCGCCCCUUUUAGAGGUGUUGCCCUUUUAAGGCGCCCGGUGUGGGGCCCCUCUCUUAAAGGGGCCCGGCCGGGCGUGGCUCGUAGGAAGGGGGGGGGUGAGCCCCCCUCGGUGUGUGGCCCCUUUAAGGCGCUGGCGUCGGGCCCCACCCUGGGCGUGGCCCUUUGAAAGUGUCUGGAAAAGCCCCGCCCCUCCGCGAGGCCACGCCCAUUCCCUUGCUCACCCAAUCAGGAGGCUCCUGGGGCUGGGCCUCAGGUGAAGCCCCGCCCCCUCUCGCUGUCACUCACAUUUACCCCUCCCGCUAACAGACCACGCCACUUUUAGAGACCACGCCCACCGCCCCACUUAAAGGGGCCACACCCGCAUUUCCAAGCCCCGCCCCCGAUUUUGUACUG
Long non-coding RNA from Passer domesticus (house sparrow), 2478 nucleotides. RefSeq lists it as uncharacterized. The transcript is spliced from 3 exons. The record is from RefSeq and is a predicted model, not a curated record. Lineage: Eukaryota; Metazoa; Chordata; Aves; Passeriformes; Passeridae.